This 446-nucleotide ribosomal RNA is filed under the name Blastocystis sp. RNAcentral describes it as "SSU rRNA". It matches the Rfam family "Eukaryotic small subunit ribosomal RNA", at positions 477 to 940 of the family's 1831-position model. The record is from RNAcentral. Lineage: Eukaryota; Bigyra; Opalinata; Blastocystidae.
ACAAUGCGGGACUGUUAGUCUUGCAAUUGGAUUGAGAACAACGUACAACUCUUAUCGAUAAGCCAUUGGAGGGCAAGUCUGGUGCCAGCAGCCGCGGUAAUUCCAGCUCCAAUAGCGUAUAUUAACGUUGUUGCAGUUAAAAAGCUCGUAGUUGAAGUGAGGGAGUGUGUGGGUAUGAGAGCUAGUCUCAAGUACUUACAACCUCCCCCCUCCAAUCGGUGUAGUGGGGUAUUCAGUUAUUCUACUACUCCUUUGGUCGUUUACUGUGAGAAAAUUAGAGUGUUCAAAGCGGGCGUUUGUUUGAAUAGAUUAGCAUGGAAUAAUGAUUGAAGGCUUUCGUGUUCGAUUUGAUUGGUUUGUUCAUGGAAGCAAGGUUAAAAGGAACAGUUGGGGGUAUUCAUAUUCACUAGUUAGAGGUGAAAUUCUCGGAUUUAUGGAAGAUGAAA